GUCUGUGAAGAUGCGGACUACCUGCACCUGGACAGAAAGACCCUAUGAAGCUUCACUGUUUCCUAGGACGACCUUUGGGCUUUUCUUACGCAGCUUAGGUGGAGGGCAAAGAAGGCCUUCUUCUGGGGGGUCAAAACCAUCAGUUAGAUACCACUCUGGAAGAGCUAGAAUUCUAACCUUGUGUCAGGACCUACAGGCCGGGGGACAGUCUCUGAUAGACAGUUUCUAUAGGGCGUAGACCUCCCCAAAGGUAACGAAGGCGUGUCAAGGUUUUCUCGAGCGAGACGAAAAUUGGUCCUCGAGUGCAAAGGCAUAAGGGAGCUUGACUGCAAGACCCACCCAUCGAACAGGGACGAAAGUCGACCUUAGUGAUCCGACGGUGCCGAGUGGAAGGACCGUCGCUCAACGGAUAAAAGUUACUCUAGGAAUAACAGACUGAUCUUCCCCAAGAGUUCACAUCGACGGGAAGGUUUGACACCUCGAUGUUGGCUCUUCGCCACCUGAGACUGUAAUAUGUUCCAAGGGUUGGGUUGUUCGCCCAUUAAAGCGGUACAUGAAAUAUAUCGAAAUGUGAACUUUAUAGACAAAAGCAAAUUUAGC
Vigna angularis (adzuki bean) is the source of this 600-nucleotide non-coding RNA. Lineage: Eukaryota; Viridiplantae; Streptophyta; Magnoliopsida; Fabales; Fabaceae. The record is from Rfam.